AGCGUUCCCUGGCUGUUUCCCUGGCCCUGCAUUCACCUCCGUUAGGGAUGUGGUGUAGAAUGCACCUGCCUUCUUUAUCUGCAUGCAUCGUCCCGCGACCAAAAAAGACAGCUAUGUCUUAGAUGCACAACUCUACUCACAGCUGACCACAGCUUUUCAUCCGAAGAGGUAACUGGUGGUGAAUGACACUCUACGGUGCAAUAGAAAGAGCUGGACGUUGAAGCCAAACACACCUGGAUGUAAAUCCCAGCUUGCUAGAUGUGUGUUCUGAUGUCUACGUCAUUGGGUUGUUGCCAGGAUUAAAUGAUGUAAAUACAGAGCAUGUGGCUGGUGCAUAGCUAUUGCUCA
Molecule: long non-coding RNA, 348 nt
Filed under: Mustela putorius furo (domestic ferret)
Lineage: Eukaryota; Metazoa; Chordata; Mammalia; Carnivora; Mustelidae
Description: lncRNA (ENSMPUG00000026181.1)
Source: RNAcentral